GGGCAAUGUUGGAUGUUUGAGGGACUAAAAGAAAGCAUUGAGGUUGACUCCUCAACAAUGGAGUUGUGUAGUGGCUAUGCACUAGGGCCCCAUUUGUUUCCCAACUCUCAAACACCUUUGAUCCUGAAAAAAAACACCUCCAUAUAUGCCCACUGCCAUGACCCAUCAGAGUUUUUACAUGUAUACAUGAAGCUACUAGCUGAACCACUAGUUGUCUUGCAGUACUACUUUUCACAUGUGAUCUUGCCUAGCUCUUCUUCUUC
Molecule: long non-coding RNA, 263 nt
Filed under: Vitis vinifera (wine grape)
Lineage: Eukaryota; Viridiplantae; Streptophyta; Magnoliopsida; Vitales; Vitaceae
Description: long non-coding RNA (VVIN_LNC005757)
Source: RNAcentral